RNAcentral lists this ribosomal RNA (404 nucleotides) under Lacticaseibacillus rhamnosus. RNAcentral's name for it is "bacterial SSU rRNA". It matches the Rfam family "Bacterial small subunit ribosomal RNA", at positions 1 to 375 of the family's 1533-position model. The record is from RNAcentral. Lineage: Bacteria; Bacillati; Bacillota; Bacilli; Lactobacillales; Lactobacillaceae.
UUUAUAUGAGAGUUUGAUCCUGGCUCAGGAUGAACGCUGGCGGCGUGCCUAAUACAUGCAAGUCGAACGAGUUCUGAUUAUUGAAAGGUGCUUGCAUCUUGAUUURAUUUUGAACGAGUGGCGGACGGGUGAGUAACACGUGGGUAACCUGCCCUUAAGUGGGGGAUAACAUUUGGAAACAGAUGCUAAUACCGCAUAAAUCCAAGAACCGCAUGGUUCUUGGCUGAAAGAUGGCGUAAGCUAUCGCUUUUGGAUGGACCCGCGGCGUAUUAGCUAGUUGGUGAGGUAACGGCUCACCAAGGCAAUGAUACGUAGCCGAACUGAGAGGUUGAUCGGCCACAUUGGGACUGAGACACGGCCCAAACUCCUACGGGAGGCAGCAGUAGGGAAUCUUCCACAAUGGA